GGUAUUGUGGCAUAGUGGUUUGAGUGCUGGACUAUAACUUUGGAGACUAGAGUUUGAUUCCCAACUUAGCCA
Molecule: non-coding RNA, 72 nt
Organism: Phrynosoma platyrhinos (Desert horned lizard)
Lineage: Eukaryota; Metazoa; Chordata; Lepidosauria; Squamata; Phrynosomatidae
Source: the annotation of a GenBank genome assembly